CUGUACAGUAGUAUUAAUUACAAGUAUUUUUUUUCUUUAAAUUAAGAGGAAAUUAUGUACGGAGUACUCCUUACAAAAAAAAAAAAAAUUAUAUAUGAGUAAUAAUGUACUACCAUUUACCCAAAUUGAAGCAUGCGCUCAUCACUUUCAAUAGAAUACCUUGAAAAAAAACAAAGUACUUCAAAAAGUGGAACCUCCACUGUCGACAUUCAGUAUUCAAAAAACCGCCAGCCGCUUACUAUUUCAUUCCACCGCCGGACCGCUGCUCCACCGCCGGACCGUUGCUCCACCGUCGCACAUCGUCUGCAGCACCACACCUGUUCGCUGAGCCAUUGAGGUCUCAAUAUCCUUCAUCAACCAACCCAGCAUAGCUGAAUGCAGAUAAUACUGUAAUGAAAGUGACUACAUCAGGUUUUAUACCUGGCCUAUACAUUUCAUGCUAGACCUAUUACAAACCUGGUUGCAGUGGUAGUGGAUAUUACGUUUGUCGCUACAUGAUUGAGACAAUUGAAUAAAGGCAAAUGAUCACCCCCGACAAGCAAUAUUUCAAGCAAGUUCCCCUGCAUUUUCUCAACAAAUGAUCGACGAGCUUAGGGAAAGGUGGAUUUCGUAUGUUACUGGAUACCAUCAACCAAAUGACGUCGUCAAUGAUUUAUGUGAAUUGUAGAUCAAUAUGGUAUUGGUAUAUCUAAGCAUAGUCUUUUUUUUUUUAAUAACCAUUAAUUAGAAAGGUGUUUUGAUACUUAACUCUCGUAUUUGUUGUAUAGUACAAAUUUCGGGUGAAUGAUUUAGUUUAAUUGUGGUUGGAUAUUUUAAAUUAUAUAUAUGAAAUAUAUUUUGAUGGUUUUGUUGUA
This is a long non-coding RNA of Chenopodium quinoa (quinoa), 854 nucleotides long. RefSeq lists it as uncharacterized. Lineage: Eukaryota; Viridiplantae; Streptophyta; Magnoliopsida; Caryophyllales; Amaranthaceae. The record is from RefSeq and is a predicted model, not a curated record. The transcript has 3 exons.